Rattus norvegicus (Norway rat) is the source of this 71-nucleotide non-coding RNA. Lineage: Eukaryota; Metazoa; Chordata; Mammalia; Rodentia; Muridae. The record is from Rfam.
GAUGAUGUAGCUCAGCGGUAGAGCAACUGCCUUGCGUGUAAGUGGAUCUGGGUUCGACUCCCAGCAUCUCG